RNAcentral lists this long non-coding RNA (990 nucleotides) under Mytilus galloprovincialis (Mediterranean mussel). The record is from RNAcentral. Lineage: Eukaryota; Metazoa; Mollusca; Bivalvia; Mytilida; Mytilidae.
GUCAAAAUGUUAAAUAAUUCCAGAAGUGUUUUCAGAAUGGAACUGAGUGUUGAUAGAAUCUGUCCAAUGAUGUAAAAAAUGUCUGAUGAGUAGCUUUGUUGUAAUAAUAUACAUACGAAAUAAGAUGAUACAUAUAAAAUAUGAUUCAAAAGCAGCAUGGAAGGACUAGAACAUGAUAAGCUGACAUAUGUAAGAAAUUAAAUGUAUUAUACCUAUUUCAAUUAUCACUCAAAAAAUGAGAGAGUGCUUAAUGGUAACUACCAUUUCAUUGCUGUAAAAUUGCCCAAUCAUGAAGUCUUGCCAGAUAUCAUUGUAAAUACUCAGAAACAACUAGUUAAUUCAAAAUGGAAAGGGAUCUUUUGUUGCAGCCAAAACUCAUUAUCUAAAUCUUAGACAUGCAUUUUAUUGAAAAAUUCAAUUACACGAACUGUCCUUUCUGACAAAUACUACAAAGACUUUAUGCUGUUUAAUGUUGAGGUAAUGAUUUUUGUCUGUAACUAGUUUGGGUUAGGAGGUGAUUUCAUCAAAACAUCUUCCUUUGAAAGCCAAAAUGCAAACACAUAUGCUCAAGGAGUGAAAACAAGUCAUGCAGAAAUCGACAAAAUGUUAUAUUUGUAAUUUGAAUACAUGUGAUAUUUUUCCGCUAACAAUUCCUUGUGUUGUAAAUGACUCUAUUUUCUAUUAAGAUUUUUAUGUAAUAUGCAACUAUGAGUUAGCUUGUUUGUGUCAGUAAAAUUUGAACACCUUUAAAUACUUCAUAUAUAUUUUUAUGAUUCUAUAUCUCAUAUGGUAAAUUGUUGUUACAAAAGUUUUCGUAUUUUCAUCACAUAUUUUUGUAACACAGUUUCAUUUUUCUGAAGAGUUUGUAAGAAACUACUUGACAUUUACAUGUGAGCUUAUUUCAGUAUUUAUUUCCUUAACAGUUAAUGUAUGGAUAAAACUGAAAAAUAAUCCGGUUAAAUGUGCUAGAGGUUGUAUAGAGAACAUAAA